This 252-nucleotide ribosomal RNA is filed under the name uncultured bacterium. RNAcentral describes it as "partial 16S ribosomal RNA". It matches the Rfam family "Bacterial small subunit ribosomal RNA", at positions 524 to 776 of the family's 1533-position model. The record is from RNAcentral.
UACGUAGGUGGCAAGCGUUGUCCGGAAUUAUUGGGCGUAAAGCGCGCGCAGGCGGUUUUGUUAGUCUGAUGUUAAAGCCCGGGGCUCAACCCCGGUUCGCAUUGGAAACUGUGGAGCUUGAGUGCUGAAGAGGAAAGUGGUAUUCCACGUGUAGCGGUGAAAUGCGUAGAUAUGUGGAGGAACACCAGUGGCGAAGGCGGCUUUCUGGUCAGUAAAUGACGCUGAGGCGCGAAAGCGUGGGGAGCAAACAGG